UACAGAGGUCUCAAGCGUUGUUCGGAUUCAUUGGGCGUAAAGGGUGCGUAGGUGGCGCUGUAAGUCGGGUGUGAAAUUUCGGAGCUUAACUCCGAAACUGCAUUCGAUACUGCGGUGCUUGAGGACUGGAGAGGAGACUGGAAUUCAUGGUGUAGCAGUGAAAUGCGUAGAGAUCAUGAGGAAGACCAGUGGCGAAGGCGGGUCUCUGGACAGUUCCUGACACUGAGGCGCGAAAGCUAGGGGAGCAAACGGG
This 253-nucleotide ribosomal RNA is filed under the name uncultured bacterium. RNAcentral's name for it is "partial 16S ribosomal RNA". It matches the Rfam family "Bacterial small subunit ribosomal RNA", at positions 524 to 776 of the family's 1533-position model. The record is from RNAcentral.